RNAcentral lists this ribosomal RNA (485 nucleotides) under uncultured bacterium. Its description in RNAcentral is "partial 16S ribosomal RNA". It matches the Rfam family "Bacterial small subunit ribosomal RNA", at positions 30 to 506 of the family's 1533-position model. The record is from RNAcentral.
AUUGAACGCUGGCGGCAUGCCUUACACAUGCAAGUCGAACGGCAGCACGGGUGCUUGCACCUGGUGGCGAGUGGCGAACGGGUGAGUAAUACAUCGGAACAUGUCCUGUAGUGGGGGAUAGCCCGGCGAAAGCCGGAUUAAUACCGCAUACGAUCUACGGAUGACAGCGGGGGGCCUUCGGGCCUCGCGCUAUAGGGGUGGCCGAUGGCUGAUUAGCUAGUUGGUGGGGUAAAGGCCUACCAAGGCGACGAUCAGUAGCUGGUCUGAGAGGACGACCAGCCACACUGGGACUGAGACACGGCCCAGACUCCUACGGGAGGCAGCAGUGGGGAAUUUUGGACAAUGGGCGAAAGCCUGCUCCAGCAAUGCCGCGUGUGUGAAGAAGGCCUUCGGGUUGUAAAGCAGUUUUGUCCGGAAAGAAAUCCUUGGCCCUAAUACGGUCGGGGGAUGACGGUACCGGAAGAAUAAGCACCGGCUAACUACGU